UACGAGGGGUGCAAGCGUUGCUCGGAAUUAUUGGGCGUAAAGGGUGCGUAGGCGGUUUGGUAAGUCUGAUGUGAAAUCUAUGGGCUCAACUCAUAGUCUGCAUCGGAAACUGCCGGGCUUGAGUAUGAGAGAGGUGAGUGGAAUUCCGGGUGUAGUGGUGAAAUGCGUAGAGAUCCGGAGGAACACCAGUGGCGAAGGCGGCUCGCUGGGCUUUACCUGACGCUGAGGCGCGAAAGCCAGGGGAGCAAACGGG
Molecule: ribosomal RNA, 253 nt
Filed under: uncultured bacterium
Lineage: Bacteria
Description: partial 16S ribosomal RNA
Rfam family: Bacterial small subunit ribosomal RNA
Source: RNAcentral